AGCUUUUCGAAUCCGUGCUGAGAUUUCGUCGGACACCGACCCAUUAGGUGUAAUCAGACUCCCAAGAUAAGCGAAGUU
Molecule: non-coding RNA, 78 nt
Organism: Schistosoma mattheei
Lineage: Eukaryota; Metazoa; Platyhelminthes; Trematoda; Strigeidida; Schistosomatidae
Source: Rfam